UUUGAUACUCGGCCUUUUGGCUAAGAUCAAGUGUAGUAUCUGUUCUUAUCAGUUUAAGAUUUCAUUUCUAAUUCACUCAGCAGUUAUUGAAGUAUCAUUGAUUUUAUUUCCAGCACACACAGAUGUGAACUCUCUCUGAUCAGAGUCAGGUGAGUCUAGGAAGAUUCCAGAAUCUCUGGAGGUCUC
RNAcentral lists this small nuclear RNA (186 nucleotides) under Cavia aperea (Brazilian guinea pig). Its description in RNAcentral is "U2 spliceosomal RNA (ENSCAPG00000000484.1)". It matches the Rfam family "U2 spliceosomal RNA". From Rfam's summary of the family: U2 is a small nuclear RNA (snRNA) component of the spliceosome (involved in pre-mRNA splicing). The record is from RNAcentral. Lineage: Eukaryota; Metazoa; Chordata; Mammalia; Rodentia; Caviidae.